This 524-nucleotide ribosomal RNA is filed under the name uncultured bacterium. Its description in RNAcentral is "partial 16S ribosomal RNA". It matches the Rfam family "Bacterial small subunit ribosomal RNA", at positions 28 to 523 of the family's 1533-position model. The record is from RNAcentral.
GACGAACGCUGGCGGCGUGCCUAAUACAUGCAAGUCGAGCGCAGGAAGCCGUCUGAACCCUUCGGGGGGACGACGGUGGAAUGAGCGGCGGACGGGUGAGUAACACGUAAAGAACCUGCCCAUAGGUCUGGGAUAACCACGAGAAAUCGGGGCUAAUACCGGAUGUGUCAUCGGACCGCAUGGUCCGAUGACGAAAGGCGCCCCGGCGUCGCCCAUGGAUGGCUUUGCGGUGCAUUAGCUAGUUGGGGAGGUAACGGCCCACCAAGGCGACGAGGCAUAGCCGACCUGGGAGGGGGAUCGGCCAAACUGGGCCGGAGACACGGCCCAGACUCCUACGGGAGGCAGCAGUAGGGAAUCUUCCACAAUGGACGAAAGUCUGAUGGAGCAACGCCGCGUGAACGAUGAAGGCUUUCGGGUCGUAAAGUUCUGUUGUAAGGGAAGAACAAGUGCCGCAGGCAAUGGCGGCACCUUGACGGUACCUUGCGAGAAAGCCACGGCUAACUACGUGCCAGCCGCCGCCGUAA